UAGGGAAUCUUCCGCAAUGGACGAAAGUCUGACGGAGCAACGCCGCGUGAGUGAAGAAGGAUUUCGGUUCGUAAAACUCUGUUGUUAGGGAAGAAAAAAUGUAUAGUAACUAUAUACAAAAGAGACGGUACCUAACCAGAAAGCCACGGCUAACUACGUGCCAGCAGCCGCGGUAAUACGUAGGUGGCAAGCGUUGUCCGGAAUUAUUGGGCGUAAAGCGCGCGCAGGUGGUUUAGAAAGUCUGAUGUGAAAGCCCACGGCUCAACCGUGGAGGGUCAUUGGAAACUAAUAAACUUGAGUGCAGGAGAGAAAAGUGGAAUUCCUAGUGUAGCGGUGAAAUGCGUAGAGAUUAGGAGGAACACCGGUGGCGAAAGCGGCCUUUUGGCCUGCAACUGACACUGAGGCGCGAAAGCGUGGGGAGCAAACAGG
RNAcentral lists this ribosomal RNA (429 nucleotides) under Verrucomicrobiota bacterium. Its description in RNAcentral is "Verrucomicrobia bacterium partial 16S ribosomal RNA". It matches the Rfam family "Bacterial small subunit ribosomal RNA", at positions 355 to 776 of the family's 1533-position model. The record is from RNAcentral. Lineage: Bacteria; Pseudomonadati; Verrucomicrobiota.